This is a long non-coding RNA of Cygnus olor (mute swan), 2379 nucleotides long. RefSeq lists it as uncharacterized. The transcript is spliced from 3 exons. Lineage: Eukaryota; Metazoa; Chordata; Aves; Anseriformes; Anatidae. The record is from RefSeq and is a predicted model, not a curated record.
GAAGGGGUGGUGGAAGAGGGGAAGGGUAGAAGGAGGCUACGUGGUGCUGAGGGAGCUGUUUGUAGUGGGGGCCCCCUGGCUGAGCCGGGGGACAGGGAGACAGGUGAGCGUGGCAGGCUGUGCUGGGGAAGCUGGGCGGUGACGGGGUUUUCUCAUUUGGGUGUCCUGGUUGCCCACUCUCGGCUUUCAUAUGUUCGUGGAAGGACCAUGCAGUUAGAUGAAGUCACUUGUGAGGGGAAGAUGGGAUGGUCCCGUAUUCAGAAACCACUGUGUUCUGAACUCUCACUGAGCUCCCUUUGAGCAGAGAGGUCAAUGGCUGAUGAUGCAGGUUCACAGGUAGUAACCACAGUGCACGGUUGUAUUACUUGUGCUGAGCGCUGUGACUAGUCCAGAGAUGCGGCAUUCAAGAUACGGUCCUGGUUUGGAUGAUGUGGGGCAUCAUGUGUAAUAUGUUCCAGCUAUGGUGAUAUCCUUCUUCAGAUCUGCUUUUCUCAGGUAAUUUGAGGUGUGGUCAUAAAAAUUCUGUCCACAGAGAAUGUGUGAUCCAUCCUUUCAGGUGAAGCACAAGGCAUCUCAGUGAGAGCCAGUGCAGCGAAGUGGAGUGCAAGCAUCAGAGCCAGAACUAAUGGAGUGAUUAUUGUUCAGUUUUGAAGCCCGCUCUUGGCUUCAAAAUGUAAAAUGAAAUUUUACAUGUCAUUUCAAAAAAUUCUUUGUUCAAAAGUCUGUUGAGAAGGGUAAUGCCUUGUAGUAGACCAGCUGAUGAGACUGGAAAAAAACAAGUGAGAUUUUAGAUGCACCAGCAUUCAGGCCUGCAAUAGAAGUGGAUGUCUGCCUGAAAUGUUGUUCACCUUGGCCAGUCAUAUCAAUUUUUACUGAUCUCAACAAAUUUCACUGUCCAAUGUUUUUAGCCCACAGUGGUUACAAUAACAGUAUUGCUGCAGUGUGUGCAGUGUGCAGCUUCAACUGGUCUUGCUUGCAUUAAAAUUCUACAAGAGUUUUUUCACCCCUCUUCUUUGCCUGAUUGAAUAAAAUCCUUUUCUUGUAAACUUCUUUUUUAAAUUAUUUAAGUGGGACGAGGGGGGCACAACAACAACAACAACAAAAAAAAACAAGAAAAAGCCCAGACAAAAGGGAGCUUUUGAGACAACCAGCAGGCCUAUACACUUUGCAGUCUUCCAGGAGGAGCGUUGCCAGCUGUGAGCUGCUUCUUUGUGUUGUCUUUAAAGCAACAUACAUACACAUGCUCCACUUUACCAGACUUAAGGUUGGGAAGCAAAAGGAUGCUUUGUGUCAUUGCUGUCUUUUCCAGUGUCCAAACUAGAGCUUGCUUGUCUGUCUUUCCUAUUAUAAAUAGGAAUGGAUGAACGUGUUUUGCCUAAUUUCAAAUCCACUUAAAGUUCAUGGGUUUGAAAUUAAAAACAGAACUCAAAUCUUAUAAGGUUUGUGUUCUGUUAGGAGCUGGCCUUUUGCCAGUACAUGCCUAUUCAUUUAACUUUUAUCCCUGGAAUCAAAUACAUAUCAGUUUGCUAUACUAGGUCGUUUGUACUUCGUUACAUUCUCUUCCUUACCUGUCUUCUGCCUGUUUCAUUGGCAUAAAUUUGUCUCUUUUUAGAAAGUUGCUAGCAUAGGUCUUCAGUCUCAUGAGCAUAAGACUUCUGCUUUGCCUCUUCAUUCUGUUUUUCACUGUUUCAUGUUUAGUUCACAAUGUGUACCUUCUGGCCUACUCCUCUGUAAUAAUACAUCCAAGGUAGUAAAUGAAGGAUGAAAUCUGCACUAGAUAAAGGCAGUAUUUUAGAUGCUAUAUGGUUUUGAAUAUUCCAUAUUCACAGGUGAAGUUUGCUUUAUCCACUAUGGCAGCUGCUCCAGACAAAGAGGUGAAAUAAUCCUGGAAGCUAUACAGAACAGUGAGCAACUGGAUCUUUUUUAGUGCAAAAGUGAUUCCAUUUAAAAAUAAAGCUUUGACCUGUAUUGCCUAUAAUGCAAAUUUCAUCCUCACUGGCUUGCAUUAUGCAAGUGCAUGGAAUCCCAUGCAACCCUGAUGCAAAAAAUAAUGGAAGUCUGACAUGUUGACAGCACAUCAUCUGCAGUAUUGUUUUUUUAUAGGUUAACUUAAUAGUAGUUUGUUGAUCCUGUGUAGGUUCACUUGCUGAUUUUUUCCCCCUGAUAUUUGUAACUAUUAAAAAAGUAAGUAAUGGAGGUUUAUAUGUGUAUAUGUAAAUAUGCACACAUAUAUGCAUAUAUAUGUAAUUUGUUGUUGUUGACAUUGUGAUUGUUUUAGCAGAUAUUUUAAGAGGGGAUUAUUAAUUUAAUAAAGUAUAUCUAUGCUUUCCUUUUGUGAGGAGGAAGUGUUUAUUCUUCCGUAUUUUAUUCUGUGAUUAU